This 497-nucleotide ribosomal RNA is filed under the name uncultured bacterium. RNAcentral's name for it is "partial 16S ribosomal RNA". It matches the Rfam family "Bacterial small subunit ribosomal RNA", at positions 28 to 507 of the family's 1533-position model. The record is from RNAcentral.
GACGAACGCUGGCGGCGUGCCUAAUACAUGCAAGUAGAACGCUGAAGCUUGGUGCUUGCCCCGAGCGGAUGAGUUGCGAACGGGUGAGUAACGCGUAGGUAACCUGCCUGGUAGCGGGGGAUAACUAUUGGAAACGAUAGCUAAUACCGCAUAAUAGUAGAUGUUGCAUGACAUUUGCUUAAAAGGUGCAAUUGCAUCACUACCAGAUGGACCUGCGUUGUAUUAGCUAGUUGGUGAGGUAACGGCUCACCAAGGCAACGAUACAUAGCCGACCUGAGAGGGUGAUCGGCCACACUGGGACUGAGACACGGCCCAGACUCCUACGGGAGGCAGCAGUAGGGAAUCUUCGGCAAUGGACGGAAGUCUGACCGAGCAACGCCGCGUGAGUGAAGAAGGUUUUCGGAUCGUAAAGCUCUGUUGUAAGAGAAGAACGAGUGUGAGAGUGGAAAGUUCACACUGUGACGGUAUCUUACCAGAAAGGGACGGCUAACUACGUG